CCCUUCAGUGCCGGAGCUAACGCAUUAAGCACUCCGCCUGGGGAGUACGACCGCAAGGUUGAAACUCAAAGGAAUUGACGGGGGCCCGCACAAGCGGUGGAGCAUGUGGUUUAAUUCGAAGCUACGCGAAGAACCUUACCAGGUCUUGACAUCUUGCGCUAACCUAAGAGAUUAGGCGUUCCCUUCGGGGACGCAAUGACAGGUGGUGCAUGGUCGUCGUCAGCUCGUGUCGUGAGAUGUUGGGUUAAGUCCCGCAACGAGCGCAACCCUUGUUACUAGUUGCCAGCAUUCAGUUGGGCACUCUAGUGAGACUGCCGGUGACAAACCGGAGGAAGGUGGGGACGACGUCAGAUCAUCAUGCCCCUUAUGACCUGGGCUACACACGUGCUACAAUGGUCGGUACAACGAGUCGCUAACCCGCGAGGGCAAGCUAAUCUCUUAAAGCCGAUCUCAGUUCGGACUGUAGGCUGCAACUCGCCUACACGAAGUCGGAAUCGCUAGUAAUCGCGGAUCAGCAUGCCGCGGUGAAUACGUUCCCGGGCCUUGUACACACCGCCCGUCACACCAUGGAAGUUUGUAACGCCCAAAGUCGGUGGCCUAACCAUUAUGGAGGGAGCCGCCUAAGGCGGGACAGAUGACUGGGGUGAAGUCGUAAC
Molecule: ribosomal RNA, 656 nt
Filed under: uncultured Lactobacillus sp.
Lineage: Bacteria; Bacillati; Bacillota; Bacilli; Lactobacillales; Lactobacillaceae
Description: bacterial SSU rRNA
Rfam family: Bacterial small subunit ribosomal RNA
Source: RNAcentral